RNAcentral lists this ribosomal RNA (253 nucleotides) under uncultured bacterium. Its description in RNAcentral is "partial 16S ribosomal RNA". It matches the Rfam family "Bacterial small subunit ribosomal RNA", at positions 524 to 776 of the family's 1533-position model. The record is from RNAcentral.
UACGUAGGGGGCAAGCGUUGUCCGGAAUCAUUGGGCGUAAAGAGCGCGUAGGCGGCCCUGUAAGUCCGCUGUGAAAGUCAAGGGCUCAACCCUUGGAUGCCGGUGGAUACUGCAGGGCUAGAGUCCGGAAGAGGCGAGUGGAAUUCCUGGUGUAGCGGUGGAAUGCGCAGAUAUCAGGAGGAACACCGAUGGCGAAGGCAGCUCGCUGGGACGGUACUGACGCUGAGGCGCGAAAGCGUGGGGAGCGAACAGG